GACGAACGCUGGCGGCGUGCUUAACACAUGCAAGUCGAGCGGUAAGGCCCUUUCGGGGGUACGACGAGCGGCGAACGGGUGAGUAACACGUGGGUGACCUGCCUUUAGCUCUGGGAUAAGCCUGGGAAACCGGGUCUAAUACCGGAUAUGACUCCGCGGCGCAUGUUGUGGGGUGGAAAGCCUUGUGCGGCUGGAGAUGGGCCCGCGGCCUAUCAGCUUGUUGGUGGGGUGAUGGCCUACCAAGGCGACGACGGGUAGCCGGCCUGAGAGGGCGACCGGCCACACUGGGACUGAGACACGGCCCAGACUCCUACGGGAGGCAGCAGUGGGGAAGUCUUGCGCAAUGGGCGGAAGCCUGACGCAGCGACGCCGCGUGAGGGAUGAC
RNAcentral lists this ribosomal RNA (385 nucleotides) under uncultured bacterium. RNAcentral's name for it is "bacterial SSU rRNA". It matches the Rfam family "Bacterial small subunit ribosomal RNA", at positions 28 to 412 of the family's 1533-position model. The record is from RNAcentral.